Non-coding RNA from Meleagris gallopavo (turkey), 966 nucleotides. NCBI's taxonomy places the organism in Eukaryota, Metazoa, Chordata, Aves, Galliformes, Phasianidae. The record is from RefSeq and is a predicted model, not a curated record.
UUCGUUCCUGGAGCCGGUGCUUCGAGAGCGGUUCGGGGGAGGGCAAGAGAAGGAAAGUUUCCCGGAGCCGCCCCGAGCCCCGGCUCGCUCACCUGGCGCAGAGCUCGAGGGUCGGGCAGCGCGUCCGCUGAAAAUCUGUCGUUUCGGCGGCGUGCAGCUGAAGAGCUUAAGCAUCAAAACAAUGAUUCCUCCGGGGGAAUGCCUCUAUGCUGGGAGGAAAAGGAGGAAACCCAUUCAGAAACAAAGGCCUGCGGCUGGAAAUGAAAAAUCAAAUCCUUCAAAGAGGCACAGGGACCGCCUAAAUGCAGAACUAGACCAUCUGGCCAGCCUCCUGCCUUUCCCACCCGACAUAAUAUCCAAGCUGGACAAGCUGUCUGUGCUGCGCCUUAGUGUCAGCUACCUGCGAGUCAAAAGUUUCUUUCAAGGUAGGUCUCUUCAAGAUAGCAGGAUCCCUUUAAAACUCUCCUUCUUAUUUAUGACUGCUUUCUACUAAUCGUGAGUAAAGUUAAAAUGAGGUGUUACAUUGGUAAAGUAAGAAAAGAAAGAUCUAACCUCUAUUAUUGAACAUACUUCUUUUGCAUAUGAGAUAUUGCUUUGGAAAUGUUGUGCAUUUCCUCCUAUGCUUUUUGUGUGGUUUUUACCAAAUAAUGGGAUAACCCUCGCCCUUCCUCAAUGCACUGUAGGAAAUGGGAAAACAUGGCCGUAAAAUACUUAAACCUGCAAAGAGGCUUGGGGUAAAUGUAAAGUUGUAGUAUCUGUAGCUAUGUUGUGCUCCCUUUUUGAAGCUAUUAUUGUUCAUGUUUGCAAUGUCUGUUUAAAUACAACAUGAAAGUAAAGCAACUAAUGUACCACCUGUAUUUACUGUAAGCCCAACAGGAAAUAGGCUUGCUUGAAAGGUCAGAGGAAUCACUUUCGUUUGGGAUACGUGUGAUCUGAAGUUCUAAGUGUUGACUAAAGCUAUAAUAG